Molecule: ribosomal RNA, 468 nt
Filed under: uncultured bacterium
Lineage: Bacteria
Description: partial 16S ribosomal RNA
Rfam family: Bacterial small subunit ribosomal RNA
Source: RNAcentral
GACGAACGCUGGCGGCGUGCUUAACACAUGCAAGUCGAACGGAAAGGCCCUGCUUUUGUGGGGUGCUCGAGUGGCGAACGGGUGAGUAACACGUGAGUAACCUGCCCUUGACUUUGGGAUAACUUCAGGAAACUGGGGCUAAUACCGGAUAGGAGCUCCUGCUGCAUGGUGGGGGUUGGAAAGUUUCGGCGGUUGGGGAUGGACUCGCGGCUUAUCAGCUUGUUUGUGGGGUAGGGGCUUACCAAGGCUUUGACGGGUAGCCGGCAUGAGAGGGGGACCGGCCACAUGGGGCCUGAGAUACGGACCAGACUCCUACGGGAGGCAGCAGUGGGGAAUAUUGCACAAUGGGCCGAAGCCUGAUGCAGAAACGCCCCGUGCGGGAUGACGGCCUUCGGGUUGUAAACAGCUUUCGACUGUGACGAAGCGUGAGUGACGGUAAUGGGUAAAGAAGCACCGGCUAACUACGUG